CAAGGAAUAGUUUAAAAAAAAUUUUAAUUUUGGAGAUUAAAGAUAGGAGGCUUCUUUUCCUUGA
RNAcentral lists this transfer RNA (64 nucleotides) under Olethrius laevipennis. RNAcentral describes it as "tRNA-Pro". Lineage: Eukaryota; Metazoa; Arthropoda; Insecta; Coleoptera; Cerambycidae. The record is from RNAcentral.